UACGGAGGGUGCAAGCGUUAUCCGGAAUCACUGGGUUUAAAGGGUGCGUCGGCGGUGGUGUAAGUCAAUUGGGAAAUUCCCUCGUUUAACGGGUGGGACUGCGAUUGAUUCUGCAUCACUUGCAUCAGGAUGAGGUAGGCGGAAUGUGGCAUGUAGCGGUGAAAUGCUUAGAUAUGCCAUUGACCACCGAUUGCGAAGGCAGCUUACUGGCCCUGUAUUUACGCUGAGGCCCGAAAGCGUGGGGAGCUAACAGG
RNAcentral lists this ribosomal RNA (254 nucleotides) under uncultured bacterium. Its description in RNAcentral is "partial 16S ribosomal RNA". It matches the Rfam family "Bacterial small subunit ribosomal RNA", at positions 524 to 776 of the family's 1533-position model. The record is from RNAcentral.